AGUCUGCACCAAACCUUUACCAAAAGUACGGCUACCGAUAACUACCGCCCGGUCAUAAUCCUGUAAUGCUCCUGCCAAAAUUUCUGAGGCGGAAGCGGAAGCGCUAUUUACCAACACGGCCAAAGGAAUCUCCAGAUCGAGCGGCUCACGUAAAGUUUUAUAAGAAUUGCUAGCUUGUUUAACCUUGCCUUUCGUCGUUACAAGUGUUUUUCCACGAGGAAGGAAAUAAUUUGCAAUUUCAACAGCCUCAUCCAACAAUCCACCCCCAUUAUUACGUAA
RNAcentral lists this non-coding RNA (279 nucleotides) under uncultured Bacteroides sp. The record is from RNAcentral. Lineage: Bacteria; Pseudomonadati; Bacteroidota; Bacteroidia; Bacteroidales; Bacteroidaceae.